AAGCCUACGGGGCGCAGCAGUGAGGAAUAUUGGUCAAUGGUCGGGAGACUGAACCAGCCAAGCCGCGUGAGGGAUGAAGGUACAGAGUAUCGUAAACCUCUUUUGUCAGGGAACAAAGGCGGGGACGUGUCCCCGGAUGAGUGUACCUGAAGAAAAAGCAUCGGCUAACUCCGUGCCAGCAGCCGCGGUAAUACGGAGGAUGCGAGCGUUAUCCGGAUUUAUUGGGUUUAAAGGGUGCGUAGGCGGAGUGUCAAGUCAGCGGGAAAAUUUCGGGGCUCAAACC
This 283-nucleotide ribosomal RNA is filed under the name uncultured bacterium. Its description in RNAcentral is "partial 16S ribosomal RNA". It matches the Rfam family "Bacterial small subunit ribosomal RNA", at positions 335 to 615 of the family's 1533-position model. The record is from RNAcentral.